UUAAAAAUAAUGAAAAAUUACUAUAAUGCUUGUUUAAAGUAAUUCUGAUGUUCAUGCGACAAUAAUGAAAUCCUUCCAGAGGGGCGCGUGUCGCUAUUCGGCUUGUCCCGGAAUAACACGAGUGGGUCACGAAUGUGUGGAUUUGCGUCAUUCGUAACUACUCGCCUCUUUCCGUGACCUACACCCGGAAUGACACGAGUAGUUAGGAAUGUGGACUUGUCAGACUUACUUCCGGGGUCAGUAGAUGUCUUCGGGAGUUACGCCAUUCUCACUCGCGAUAUCUAUCACCGAUUGCUUGGAUUUGAUGAGUGCAUCAAGCUAAACCUAUACGAUCGGAACAAAAGAUUUGAUCGGAUCAAGGAGUACGAUGUGCGUCUCGUUCUGUCGCCUUAUAUUUUCAGGGCGAUAUAGCGAUGACCCUAAUCAGCCACCAUACUGAAGGAUGUGGGAAUUUUAUUUUCCUGGUAUCAAUGCUUUAGGGGAGAACACGUUUGAUUUGAUGUGGGAUUAUUACAUUUCAAUGACUGAAGAUGUAAGUGGCGGGACAGAGUCAUGGAUUUCACACAACACCUGGUAUGGCCACAGUGACUACCGUGUAUCUGACGCCUGAGACCCACGAAGAGGCCACGUAGAGGCCGAAACCACGCCCCGUGAUUGCGAAAUGUAUCUUCACACAUAAUGGGGACGCUGUCAAAAGCUCCCGACGAAAACUCAAAGGCAGGCCAUUUCCAUGUAUGGAACAGCACCAAGAACUUGGUCUUAAUGCCACUGUUGAGGGAAGCGAGCUCUUAGAACAUCUAAGUGUUUAUAUCGGUUGACAAACUAUGCGAAGAAAACGUCCUCCAAAUGUUGCCUGGACCACCCCCUUACAACAACUCACAACAGAGCCCUGAUAACCACAGCAGGAACGAGGCUCAAGCAGGAAAUCGUCAUUGGACAUGUAUCAAAUACGACGCCAUAUGAAACCCGUGUACGGAUGUAAACUGGAUUAUUCAUCUGAAAGACUCGAAGGAUGAACAUACUGAGACAGUUUCUGGCAAUGGUUAUACUGAGAACAAUCGGCCUUUCAGAAGGCUAAACAUGCGAGUUUUUGUAAAGAUAUUACAACAAGAACUGUGAAUGAAUUUCAUCACUGUGAACAAUAUCUGGACUAUGACAUUCUCAGAAAAUAAACCUGUGAGUACUCCUAUAUAUUGCCAAAAGCUGAAAACCUAUCAUUGCCGGUAUCAUAGAACUAGCUUGUAAUUACGCUACUCCACGCGGAUGGAUGUUAUGAAAUAUAACUGUGACACUGUACAAUGGGCGAGUAACGUUUUUAUCAUCCCGAGUUCAAUAUCGAAAUAAAAGGCGUAUUAUAUUAAUUAUAAA
Long non-coding RNA from Haliotis rubra (blacklip abalone), 1368 nucleotides. RefSeq lists it as uncharacterized. The transcript has 2 exons. The record is from RefSeq and is a predicted model, not a curated record. Lineage: Eukaryota; Metazoa; Mollusca; Gastropoda; Lepetellida; Haliotidae.